CCAACAGGUCUGCAUUCGGC
This 20-nucleotide microRNA is filed under the name Ciona intestinalis (vase tunicate). RNAcentral describes it as "cin-miR-4094-3p". The record is from miRBase by way of RNAcentral. Lineage: Eukaryota; Metazoa; Chordata; Ascidiacea; Phlebobranchia; Cionidae.